AUAGAGACUCAGAGCUGCAUAUCAAUAAGCGGAGGAAAAGGCGCUUACCUACGCUUAGGAUGUUGACGAGACUGUCGAUCUCAUCUAUACAUGACUCUGUGCAUAUCAAUAAGCGGAGGAAAAGAAACUAACUAGGAUUCCCUCAGUAACGGCGAGUGAAGCGGGAAGAGCUCAAAUUUGAAAUCUUCAAGGUUCUACCUUGACGAAUUGUAGUUUAAAGAAGUGUUUUCUGUUGGAGUUUUGGUAAAAGUUCUUUGGAAUAGGACAUCAUAGAGGGUGAGAAUCCCGUAUUUGACCAUUAUUUCCAGCUUUGUGAUACACUUUCAAAGAGUCGGAUUGUUUGGGAAUGCAGUCCAAAAUGGGUGGUAAAUUUCAUCUAAAGCUAAAUAUUGGCGAGAGACCGAUAGCGAACAAGUACCGUGAGGGAAAGAUGAAAAGAACUUUGAAAAGAGAGUUAAACAGUACGUGAAAUUGUCAAAAGGGAAGCGUUUGACACCAGUGUUGUUUUCUCGAAGAUCAAUUAAAAAGAGUUAGAUUUUGUUGUGUAUUGACCUUAACAGCUUCUGCACUUCAAUUUUCUUGUCUUUUUUAAUGCACUUCUCGUUUAACAAGUCAACAUCAGUUUCUUUUGUUGUAAAAGGGUCAUUGGAAGGUGGCUUUCUUUUCGGAGAAAGUGUUUAUAGCCUUUGGCCUCUGCAAUCGGAGAGAUUGAGGUCUGCAGCGUAGAUCCUUCGGGGUUAGAUACAUUUGUGCUAAGUUAUAGCCUUUCAUAGACAACUUGUUGACUAUGAUCAGUCAUGUAGCUUACUCGCUUAUGCUAUUUUACCUACGCUUAGGAUGUUGAUGUGAUACUGCGAGCA
Molecule: ribosomal RNA, 860 nt
Filed under: uncultured Neocallimastigales
Lineage: Eukaryota; Fungi; Neocallimastigomycota; Neocallimastigomycetes; Neocallimastigales
Description: partial large subunit ribosomal RNA
Rfam family: Eukaryotic large subunit ribosomal RNA
Source: RNAcentral